Molecule: unclassified non-coding RNA, 1243 nt
Filed under: Hevea brasiliensis (rubber tree)
Lineage: Eukaryota; Viridiplantae; Streptophyta; Magnoliopsida; Malpighiales; Euphorbiaceae
Source: RNAcentral
GCAAAUUUUGCAAGUGCAUAAGCAAUCAGAUUAGCCUCUCUAAGCACAUGAACACAAUAAAUGAAACGGCAAACAUCCUCCAUUAAUAGUGAUUGGAUACUAGUUCCAAAUUAUGGAGGCAACACCAAUCUUUUUUGCACAUGAUUAACAAGAAGCAGGGAAUUUGAUUCUAAUGUGAAAACUCGGAACCCAGCAUCCCUUGCAUGCUGAAUGCCAAGACAAACAACCUCUACUUCCUCAUCUUUAGGAGGAAGAGAAUGGUUAAGGCGAAAAGCAGCAAACAUGAGAGUCUCCCCUCUGUGGUUACGUAGCGCCAUUCCUAACCAACAACAAACCACAAUUGCCACAUCCACAGUCAUUUUCAAUGCAUCAGUACCAGGCGCUUUCCGUUUAACGGAACCAUUAAAGGUCUAAUAGAACCUUCUGAGGAACGGAAUUGUUGAUAUUCCUGUAAGAGUGUACUAGCUUUGGAAAUAAUCUGAUCAGAUGGAAAAACAAUCCCCUUAAAGAGAGCUGAAUUUCUGGAAUUCCAACAAGCCCAUAACAACAUACAAAAUUGAUGAAAGCGUUCCAAUUUAUCCUUGCAAACUUUAAAACACUGAACAAAAGAUGAAAGUUGAUUCGUUAUAACUGAACAAAGAGGAGAGACUUGCCAUAUAGCCGAAGCACUAGAACAUUCAUAAAGAGCAUGUGUGAUGGUCUCUUCAUGACUAUUGCAUCUGGCGCAUAAGGAACUGAUAUCCACACCUCUUCUACACAACUCAAAAGCUACCGAAAGUUGAUUGUUGCAAGCCCUAUACAGAAAAUGACGUACUUUGGGGGGCAGGCUCAUAUUCCACAAAUAUUUCCACAUAGAAUCAUAUGCAAGUCCUGAUGAAUUAGCUGAAGUAGAAUUGCGCUCAGCUCCAUAGCUAAAUAAUAGGCACUAUUAAUAAUAAAGAGAUCAGUUUUGUUAUAAUGCCAAAUUAGAAUAUCUAUUUCUCUUGCUGGACAUAGGGGAAUGACACAAAUUUGAGAAGUAUUAAAGGGUAUGAAUAUUGUGUUAAUUAAAGAACUAUCCCACCGAAAUUGACCCUCCUCUAAAAACAUAUCAACAGUUGCAUUUUCAUCCAGAAUUGAGGGGGUAGACCAUACCCAAAAUCCAUUUUGAGCUGGAAGCCAAGCAUCUUUCCAAAUAUGCACUACCACUACCAACCAGCCAUCUUGACCAUUUUUCCAUUAAACAUCGAGCAUGCAUCAAACU